Long non-coding RNA from Gopherus flavomarginatus (Mexican gopher tortoise), 479 nucleotides. RefSeq lists it as uncharacterized. Lineage: Eukaryota; Metazoa; Chordata; Testudines; Testudinidae. The transcript is spliced from 5 exons. The record is from RefSeq and is a predicted model, not a curated record.
GCGAUUGUAAAAUCCGGCUCGCUGAGCUCAAUUCCUACCGGUAGCAGUUACUGGUAGGUAAGGGAUUGUGAAAACCCAGCGACUGUAAAAUCCGGCUCGCUGAGCUCAAUUCCUACCCGUAGCAGUUACUGGUAGGUAAGGGAUUGUGAAAACCCAGCGACUGUAAAAUCCGGCUCGCUGAGCUCAAUUCCCACCUGUAGCAGUUACUCGUAGGUAAGGGAUUGUGAAAACCCAGCGACUGUAAAAUCCGGCUCGCUGAGCUCAAUUCCCACCUGUAGCAGUUACUGGUAGGUAAGGGAUUGUGAAAACCCAGCGACUGUAAAAUCCGGCUCGCUGAGCUCAAUUCCUACCCGUAGCAGUUACUCGUAGGUAAGGGAUUGUGAAAACCCAGCGACUGUAAAAUCCGGCUCGCUGAGCUCAAUUCCUACCCGUAGCAGUUACUCGUAGGUAAGGGAUUGUGAAAACCCAGCGACUGUAAA